Molecule: ribosomal RNA, 782 nt
Filed under: Chloridium sp.
Lineage: Eukaryota; Fungi; Ascomycota; Sordariomycetes; Chaetosphaeriales; Chaetosphaeriaceae
Description: partial large subunit ribosomal RNA
Rfam family: Eukaryotic large subunit ribosomal RNA
Source: RNAcentral
GAGUGAAGCGGCAACAGCUCAAAUUUGAAAUCUGGCCCCCCGGCCCGAGUUGUAAUUUGCAGAGGAUGCUUCGGGCGCGGUGCCUUCCAAGUCCCCUGGAACGGGGCGCCGGAGAGGGUGAGAGCCCCGUACGGUUGGCGGCCAAGCCUGUGUGAAGCUCCUUCGACGAGUCGAGUAGUUUGGGAAUGCUGCUCUAAGCGGGAGGUAGACCCCUUCUAAAGCUAAAUAUAGGCCAGAGACCGAUAGCGCACAAGUAGAGUGAUCGAAAGAUGAAAAGCACUUUGAAAAGAGGGUUAAACAGCACGUGAAAUUGUUGAAAGGGAAGCGCUUGCGACCAGACGUGCGCCGGGGUGCUCAGCGGGCGUUCUCGCCCGUGCACUCGCCCCGGCGCAGGCCAGCGUCGGUUCGCGUGGGAGGAUAAAGGCGCCUGGAAUGUGGCUCCCCCGGGAGUGUUAUAGCCAGGCGUGCCAUGCUCCCCUGCGGACCGAGGUACGCGUUCUGCAAGGACGCUGGCGUAAUGGUCCCCAGCGACCCGUCUUGAAACACGGACCAAGGAGUCGAGGUUUUGCGCGAGUGUUUGGGUGUUAAACCCGCACGCGUAAUGAAAGUGAACGUAGGUGGGAGCUUCGGCGCACCACCGACCGAUCCUGAUGUUUUCGGAUGGAUUUGAGUAAGAGCGUAGGGCCUCGGACCCGAAAGAUGGUGAACUAUGCUUGGAUAGGGUGAAGCCAGAGGAAACUCUGGUGGAGGCUCGCAGCGGUUCUGACGUGCAAAUCGAUCGU